UGGCAAAGAGUAGCUCAUUUUGAUGCCUCUCGCUACCCCUGGCCUUAGUUUUGAAGGAAUCAUGCGACACACUCGCACUCCACUACCCCAUCCCAUGGAAAAACGCUCCCACCAUUGAGGUGUUGACCAAAAUUUCGCUGUGUGCAUGAGACACACACUCGCACUCCUCCAGCCCUCCACAGCUGAACGCUCCCACCGUUGCGAAUUUGCGAGAAUUUUUGCUCUGAGCGUGAGACCCUGAAGCGCCAGAGAUGACACUAUGUGUAAAGACGAUCAUAAUUCGGUAUGGUCAAAAUGCGUCGUUUGUCGUUUCAUUUAUCUGGUAAUGAUGUUUUCACUUCAUCAAAAUUUUAAACAUUAACAACUAGGCUGAUAACAAUAAUUGAAAUGUGAAUCAGAAUAAAUUAAAUUCAUUUGAAGUAAAAUGAAUUCCAUUAUACUCUAUUUUGAUCAAAUGAUCAACACUUGUACAUAGUGCCAUUUACUUUGUGUUCUUCACUCUCGCGCUGUGUUGUGAUCGUUCGAAACUCAUUGCCAGAACGAAUGCAAAUUUCAUUUGGGAAGGAUCGGUGCCGGAAGAUGCAGUGAAAAUUAUAAAAUGUUUAUAGAAAAGUGGUUAAGUAAAUCGUGAAAGAUGUAAACGCAGGCGCAACUGCAGUUUGUUUUGUUACAUGAUCUACGGCUAUCUCAUUACCAAAGCAUCUGAUAGCCGAUCAAAGAAGGUGAAUCGGGCUUACAGAGUCGCCGUUUAAAUUCAAAUAUCUUCGUGAUCGAAAAACGCAUCAAACAACAAGUGUUUUUCUUCCAACAGCACGCGCCAUCGGUGGAGCAAGCAGCCAACGUUUUGAUCGCCAGUACGCGCCAUCAAGAAUUGAAAUAUUCCCGAAUAGCUCUGUGAAUAAAAAAAC
Molecule: long non-coding RNA, 908 nt
Organism: Anopheles coluzzii
Lineage: Eukaryota; Metazoa; Arthropoda; Insecta; Diptera; Culicidae
Exons: 3
Source: RefSeq, a predicted model, not a curated record